Molecule: transfer-messenger RNA, 356 nt
Filed under: Bacillota bacterium
Lineage: Bacteria; Bacillati; Bacillota
Also listed under: 1 other name
Rfam family: transfer-messenger RNA
About the family: Bacterial tmRNA, also known as 10Sa RNA or SsrA, is named for its dual tRNA and mRNA-like properties.
Source: RNAcentral
GGGGCUGAAAUAGGUUCGACGGAGAGAACCGCGGUCAACGUAAGCAGGCGGAGUUGCGAGCACUCCUAAAACGAUCGCAAGCGUUAUACACGCGAACACCCAAUACGCACUCGCUGCCUAAUUUAGGUUAGCGACGGGACGCGGAGAGUCGGCCCGAACCGCUCCGCCUUCCCGCCACGAAUUCGGGCUGGUGCGCGCAACCGAUCCGGCGCGCGCACGAGAGAAACGGAUCUGCUGCGAACGAUCAUCCCUGCUUCGAGGAGGGCGUUCGAGUAAGGCAAUAUCGAGGCUGAGCCUGGAGAACGCGUUGGUCCGGCUUUUCGGACUCGGGGGGCAGUACCCCGACAGCUCCACCA